Molecule: transfer RNA, 74 nt
Filed under: Bradyrhizobium sp.
Lineage: Bacteria; Pseudomonadati; Pseudomonadota; Alphaproteobacteria; Hyphomicrobiales; Nitrobacteraceae
Also listed under: 51 other names
Description: tRNA-Cys
Rfam family: tRNA
About the family: Transfer RNA (tRNA) molecules are approximately 80 nucleotides in length. Their secondary structure includes four short double-helical elements and three loops (D, anti-codon, and T loops). Further hydrogen bonds mediate the characteristic L-shaped molecular structure. tRNAs have two regions of fundamental functional importance: the anti-codon, which is responsible for specific mRNA codon recognition, and the 3' end, to which the tRNAs corresponding amino acid is attached (by aminoacyl-tRNA synthetases). tRNAs cope with the degeneracy of the genetic code in two manners: having more than one tRNA (with a specific anti-codon) for a particular amino acid; and 'wobble' base-pairing, i.e. permitting non-standard base-pairing at the 3rd anti-codon position.
Source: RNAcentral
GGCCUCGUGGCGGAGUGGCUACGCAGAGGACUGCAAAUCCUUGUACGGGGGUUCGAUUCCCUCCGAGGCCUCCA